UUUUUAUAUAUUAAGAGACAGGGCUCGUUGGUGACAGCGGAGGAUCAUUACAGGGUCUGACGACUGCCCCAACCAAACCGUGAACUCUUUUUACAUUCAAAAUGCUUUGGCAGGCCGCUCGCUGGGGGAGCUCUGGACCGCCGCGAGGCGGUUGGCCUGCCGAAAGCAUGUAAAUUCAAAACUACUUGAAUAACUUUUCUGAGAAAUUCAUCUCCUCCGGGAGUAUAAAAAAAAUCACAACUCAUAACAAUGGAUCUCUUGGCUCUGGCAUCGAUGAAGAACGCAGCGAAAUGCGAUAACUAAUAUGAAUUGCAGAAUUCAGCGAAUCAUCGAGUUUUUGAACGCACAUUGCGCCCUUUGGUAUUCCGAAGGGCAUGUCCGACCGAGCGUCGCUUCACCGCUCAAGUCCGUCGACUUGGUGUUGGGGUCUUGCCCGAGCUCUCUCAGUCUCGGGCAGCUCUUAAAUGCAGUGGCGGCCCUCAGCGCGGCUCCUCCUUAGCGCAGUAGAGUAAUUGCACUACGCUUCGGGACGCCUGGGUGCCUGCCGUAAAACCGCAGACUUUUCCCGAGUCGCACCUUCUUUAGGUUGGCCUCGGGUCGGACAAGAUUACCCGCUGAACUUAAGCAUAUCAAUAAGCGGAGGAAAAGAAACCAACAGGGAUUGCCUCAGUAACGGCGAGUGAAGCGGCAACAGCCCAGAUUUGAAAUCUGGCCUUUCGGCCCGAGUUGUAAUCUGUAGAUGAGUCUUUGGGUUACGUGCCGUCCAAGUCCUCUGGAAUGGGGCGCCAUAGAGGGUGAGAGCCCCGUACUGACGUGCGCCGCGCCUGUUUAAAGCUCAUUCGAAGAGUCGAGUAGUUUGGAAAUGCUGCUCUAAUUGUGGGGUAAAUCUCCCAUAAGGCUAAAUACGGGCCAGAGACCGAUAGCGCACAAGUAGCGUGAGCGAAAGAUGAAAAGAGCCUUGAAUAAGGGCGUCAAAAAGUAUGUGAAAUUGUUAUGGGGGAAGCGCUUAGUGCCAGACGUGGCGGCGGUUGGUUACUCGGCGUUCUUCGCCGACGCACUCUUCCGUCGCCAGGCCAGCAUCGGUUCGGCUCGGGGCUCAAUGCUGCUCGGAAUCGUGGCUAUUCGGAGUGUUAUAGCCUUGCAGCGACCGUCCCGAAGCCGGACCGAGGUUCGCGCUCUGUUCGAUGCGGCGAGGCCUUACCCUUAAAAACAAAA
RNAcentral lists this ribosomal RNA (1215 nucleotides) under Ascomycota sp. L218. RNAcentral's name for it is "eukaryotic LSU rRNA". The stretch from base 588 to 1215 matches the Rfam family "Eukaryotic large subunit ribosomal RNA", at positions 1 to 620 of the family's 3401-position model. The record is from RNAcentral. Lineage: Eukaryota; Fungi; Ascomycota.